UACGAAGGGGGCUAGCGUUGUUCGGAUUUACUGGGCGUAAAGCGCACGUAGGCGGAUCGUUAAGUCGGGGGUGAAAUCCUGGAGCUCAACUCCAGAACUGCCUUCGAUACUGGCGAUCUUGAGUCCGGAAGAGGUGAGUGGAACUCCUAGUGUAGAGGUGGAAUUCGUAGAUAUUAGGAAGAACACCAGUGGCGAAGGCGGCUCACUGGUCCGGUACUGACGCUGAGGUGCGAAAGCGUGGGGAGCAGACAGG
This 253-nucleotide ribosomal RNA is filed under the name uncultured bacterium. RNAcentral describes it as "partial 16S ribosomal RNA". It matches the Rfam family "Bacterial small subunit ribosomal RNA", at positions 524 to 776 of the family's 1533-position model. The record is from RNAcentral.